Molecule: long non-coding RNA, 2213 nt
Organism: Drosophila subpulchrella
Lineage: Eukaryota; Metazoa; Arthropoda; Insecta; Diptera; Drosophilidae
Exons: 3
Source: RefSeq, a predicted model, not a curated record
AGUCUGGUGGCCUCUUCUCCCAUAUGCCGCUCCGGUUGGAAGAGCAGGGGAUUGGCAAAGAGUGCCUCAUCCCGGAGAAGCUGCCAGAGGAGUACGACUACGUCGGUUCCAGCUGGGACGUAUCCUCCUUCUGACAGAAUAGCGAGCCACUGCCGGAAUAGGGGGAUACAGUCGCAGUGACUCCUUGACCACGCAGUUCAGAUAGGGAAGCUCAGCGAAAUCCAAGUGAUUUACGCCCCUGUUCAAAUCCCGGCCGUAGUGCUCCUUCAGCUCCUCGAACAGCCGUUGCUGCACUACCUCAUGGCGGGAAAGCAGAUACAAACAAAAAGACACCGCCGAAGUCGUGGUAUCGUGACCCUCAAAGAUGAAGGUAUUCACCUCAUUGCGAAUUUGCUUGUCGGUCAGUGGUUGACCGUCCACAGUGGCCCGCAAGAGAGUGUCCAGCAGGGCAUGUCGCUUCUCUGGCUUAUCUUGGUGGGCCUCCCUGGCCAGCAAGUGGCGGCGCUGCUCUAUGAUUCUAUUCGUGAACUGAUGCAGGCAGUUGACCCCUGCUUGUUGCUUUCUGAAUCCACUGGGCCAGCACAGGCGGAAGAGCUGGGGAAAUAAAAGAUGCGGUCUCAUGAACUUGGUGGCCAACACGUUCGUCAGACUAAAAAAAGAUUUAAGCGUGCACCACCUCGGAAUCCUCAUCUUCUUGGGCGCGCACACUCACGCCCAUAGCCGUUUCGGUAAUGAUGUCCAGGGCAGCCAAACCCACAUAGGGAUAGAUGUUCACGGCCGAGUUGCCGUGAGAGAGGGGCUCCAAACGCUCCACCAACUUGGAGCUCUGCCUCUCAAAGACCUCGACAAACUGCUCCAAUAUGCUAAAGUAAAACGUGGGCGUAAUGAUCUUUCGCAUCGUGUGCCACUCCUCUCCGCUGCUCAGGAGAAGUCCAUUUCCAAGCCAACCGCGUAGGGCCAAAUACAUGGUGCCCUUUCUCAGCUGCUGCUGACUAUGCAACAGUGCAUCUACAUGUCGCGGCUUCGCUGUAACCACAAUUACGUGGCCCAAGACGGAACCCAUAAAGCUGUUGCCAAAUCGCUGGACAUAUUCGGCAAAUUUCUCGUGGAGAUCUGAAAUAUAUUUAGAGUUAUUAAGAAACUAAAAAUUGGAACCACAGCUUACUGUCUGGCUGGAAACUGCGCAUCUGCCAGGCGGAUCCCACAAGAGGAACUCUCGACACACUGGGCACCACUCCGCGCAAAGGAUGUCGCAGUUCUUUUAAGGCCAAACAGAACAGCCAGGCCACCAGGAGAGUCGCCAGCAGAGUCACCAGCAUGUUUUACCCCCUGCAGCGCGUCGUGUAGUGGUUCUAAGCUCUUGAGCAGCCGGAAAUCUUAUCUGAAGCAAUGUAAAAAAAAUUGCCUACUUAAACACUUGGCAUUUAUUGCUUUCCGCUAGUGUUUAUAUAAGCAACCCUAUUCGAAUAGUGCGCCUCUUGGUCAGAGUGAGAUAGGGAGGUAGAACACCAUGCCAAGCGAGACGGGAAGUCCGCGAGGAAACAACUAUACAGCUGUUUUCAACAGCUGGUGGAAUCAAUCGGACCACAACAUUUUUAUCAGUCAAAUGUAGAGUUGACACAUAUAGAUAAAGAGACGAUUAAGAACUGGUUUUAAUAUUGAGAUAAAACUAUCAGAGAUAAUUGUUUUCUAAUAUAUAUUAGAUUCCAAUUAAAGGAAAUAUAGGCCUGACCAUGGUACAUAAGUACGUUUCCAAACCGAGGAAGUGGCCGAACAUAUCGUUGCGCCUCUUUUGCCAAAAGUAGUCCACCAGGAGUAGCAGACCCAGAACUCCAAGCAUUCUGCCGCGGAUGACGAACGAUUCACCACUGAACAGUUCUAUAAAUAAUAUAAUUCGUUCUUUAUCUCCCGCGACGCUGUGUGGGCUCUAAAUCUGGAAUGCACCCCAGCUGACAUUUGUAAAGAGAAACAAAUGCCUAAGAGAACGUAACCGUAGUCUGGUAAUCUACUUUUUGAAUUCAACUACUGGGAGUGCAAAUAAACUCGACAAGCCUUUUACGGUUUGUACUAACCUGGAGUUUAUAGCCCAGUCACGAGAUGGAUAGUCUUUUUGUUGAGCGAUUAUGCUUAGUCGAGUAAUUAAACCUUAAACUAAGACCUCUGCAAAGGAUAGAAAUUUUAAAAGAAAAUUUAUUAAAUGUUCAACCAACUUA